GACGAACGCUGGCGGCGUGCUUAACACAUGCAAGUCGAACGGAAAGGCCCCUUUGGGGUUCCUCGAGUGGCGGACGGGGGCGUAAGACGUGAGUAACCUGCCCUUGACUUCGGGAUGACUUCAGGAAACUGGGGCUAAUACCGGUAAGGCAUCCUUGCUUCAUGGUGGGGGUUGGAAAGCUUCGGCGGUUUUGGAUGGACUCGCGGCUUAUCAGCUUGUUGGUUGGGUAGUGGCUUACCAAGGCUUUGACGGGUAGCCGGCCUGAGAGGGGGACCGGCCACCAUGGGACUGAGGGACGGCCCAGACGGCUACGGGAGGCAGCAGUGGGGAAUAUUGCACAAUGGGCGGAAGCCUGAUGAAGCAACGCCGCGUGCGGGAUGACGGCCUUGGGGUGGAAAACCGCUUUCAGCAGGGGAGACGCUUGUGGUGACGGUACCUACAGAAGAAGCACCGGCUAACUACGUG
Molecule: ribosomal RNA, 465 nt
Filed under: uncultured bacterium
Lineage: Bacteria
Description: partial 16S ribosomal RNA
Rfam family: Bacterial small subunit ribosomal RNA
Source: RNAcentral